UGGACCAUGUCAAAAUUCCAAAAAGGUUGGGACACUGUGCAGUUGCCUUGCCUACCAAACACCUUCUUAACACCGUAUCAUAUUCCUAUCAGUUCAAAUCAAGUUGUCCACUCCAGAAUGUUACACGUUUAAACAACUUUUGCCUAUCACUAUUCAUUUUAACCACAAUAGACCUAGUCAACUUUUUUUUUUUUCUGCAUUGGUCAAAUUUCG
Molecule: long non-coding RNA, 213 nt
Filed under: Gossypium barbadense (sea-island cotton)
Lineage: Eukaryota; Viridiplantae; Streptophyta; Magnoliopsida; Malvales; Malvaceae
Description: long non-coding RNA (GBAR_LNC006541)
Source: RNAcentral